Molecule: ribosomal RNA, 484 nt
Filed under: Trichoderma sp. FLS-2010
Lineage: Eukaryota; Fungi; Ascomycota; Sordariomycetes; Hypocreales; Hypocreaceae
Description: eukaryotic LSU rRNA
Rfam family: 5.8S ribosomal RNA (bases 166-319)
Source: RNAcentral
CCAAACUGUUGCCUCGGCGGGAUCUCUGCCCCGGGUGCGUCGCAGCCCCGGACCAAGGCGCCCGCCGGAGGACCAACCAAAACUCUUAUUGUAUACCCCCUCGCGGGUUUUUUUAUAAUCUGAGCCUUCUCGGCGCCUCUCGUAGGCGUUUCGAAAAUGAAUCAAAACUUUCAACAACGGAUCUCUUGGUUCUGGCAUCGAUGAAGAACGCAGCGAAAUGCGAUAAGUAAUGUGAAUUGCAGAAUUCAGUGAAUCAUCGAAUCUUUGAACGCACAUUGCGCCCGCCAGUAUUCUGGCGGGCAUGCCUGUCCGAGCGUCAUUUCAACCCUCGAACCCCUCCGGGGGGUCGGCGUUGGGGAUCGGCCCUCCCUUAGCGGGUGGCCGUCUCCGAAAUACAGUGGCGGUCUCGCCGCAGCCUCUCCUGCGCAGUAGUUUGCACACUCGCAUCGGGAGCGCGGCGCGUCCACAGCCGUUAAACACCCAA